Small nuclear RNA from Sorex araneus (European shrew), 110 nucleotides. The record is from RefSeq and is a predicted model, not a curated record. Lineage: Eukaryota; Metazoa; Chordata; Mammalia; Eulipotyphla; Soricidae.
UUAAAUCCACCACAACUGUUAAGAACGUACAAUGAGGAAUGAUAGAGAAAAGAUUAGCAUGGCCCCUGCGCAAGGAUGACACACAAAUUCGUGAAGCGUUCCAUAUUUUU